CCGUGCGAAGGCAAGCGGAUCUCUUAAAGCUGUUCUCAGUUCGGACUGCAGUCUGCAACUCGACUGCACGAAGCUGGAAUCGCUAGUAAUCGCGGAUCAGCACGCCGCGGUGAAUACGUUCCCGGGCCUUGUACACACCGCCCGUCACACCAUGGAAGUCUGCAAUGCCCGAAGCCGGUGGCCUAACCUUUAUGGAGGGAGCCGCCUAAGGCGGGACAGAUGACUGGGGUGAAGUCGUAACAAGGUAGC
Molecule: ribosomal RNA, 249 nt
Filed under: uncultured bacterium
Lineage: Bacteria
Description: partial 16S ribosomal RNA
Rfam family: Bacterial small subunit ribosomal RNA
Source: RNAcentral